UUAUUGGAGAGUUUGAUCCUGGCUCAGGACGAACGCUGGCGGCGUGCCUAAUACAUGCAAGUCGAGCGAGUCCCUUCGGGGGCUAGCGGCGGACGGGUGAGUAACACGUAGGCAACCUGCCUCUCAGACUGGGAUAACAUAGGGAAACUUAUGCUAAUACCGGAUAGGUUUUUGGAUCGCAUGAUCUGAAAAGAAAAGAUGGCUUUUCGCUAUCACUGGGAGAUGGGCCUG
Molecule: ribosomal RNA, 231 nt
Filed under: Brevibacillus agri
Lineage: Bacteria; Bacillati; Bacillota; Bacilli; Caryophanales; Paenibacillaceae
Description: partial 16S ribosomal RNA
Rfam family: Bacterial small subunit ribosomal RNA
Source: RNAcentral